AGUGAACGCUGGCGGUAGGCCUAACACAUGCAAGUCGAACGGCGGCACAGUAAGAGCUUGCUCUUACGGGUGGCGAGUGGCGGACGGGUGAGGAAUACAUCGGAAUCUACUUUUUCGUGGGGGAUAACGUAGGGAAACUUACGCUAAUACCGCAUACGACCUACGGGUGAAAGCAGGGGAUCUUCGGACCUUGCGCGAUUGAAUGAGCCGAUGUCGGAUUAGCUAGUUGGCGGGGUAAAGGCCCACCAAGGCGACGAUCCGUAGCUGGUCUGAGAGGAUGAUCAGCCACACUGGAACUGAGACACGGUCCAGACUCCUACGGGAGGCAGCAGUGGGGAAUAUUGGACAAUGGGCGCAAGCCUGAUCCAGCCAUACCGCGUGGGUGAAGAAGGCCUUCGGGUUGUAAAGCCCUUUUGUUGGAAAAGAAAAGCAGCAGGUUAAUACCCCGCUGUUCUGACGGUACCCAAAGAAUAAGCACCGGCUAACUUCGUG
RNAcentral lists this ribosomal RNA (492 nucleotides) under uncultured bacterium. RNAcentral's name for it is "partial 16S ribosomal RNA". It matches the Rfam family "Bacterial small subunit ribosomal RNA", at positions 29 to 507 of the family's 1533-position model. The record is from RNAcentral.